GACGGAGGAGGCAAGCGUUAUCCGGACUUAUUGGGCGUAAAGCGUCCGCAGGCGGCGAUUCAAGUCUGCUGUCAAAGGUCGGGGCUUAACCCCGGGAAGGCAGUGGAAACUGAAUAGCUAGAGUGCGGUAGGGGCAGAGGGAAUUCCCGGUGUAGCGGUGAAAUGCGUAGAGAUCGGGAAGAACACCAGUGGCGAAAGCGAUCUGCUGGGCCUGCACUGACACUGAGGGACGAAAUCUAGGGGAGCGAAAGGG
This 253-nucleotide ribosomal RNA is filed under the name uncultured bacterium. RNAcentral's name for it is "partial 16S ribosomal RNA". It matches the Rfam family "Bacterial small subunit ribosomal RNA", at positions 524 to 776 of the family's 1533-position model. The record is from RNAcentral.